UCGAGCGGACCGACGGGAGCUUGCUCCCUUAGGUCAGCGGCGGACGGGUGAGUAACACGUGGGUAACCUGCCUGUAAGACUGGGAUAACUCCGGGAAACCGGGGCUAAUACCGGAUGCUUGAUUGAACCGCAUGGUUCAAUCAUAAAAGGCGGCUUCGGCUGCCGUUUACAGAUGGACCCGCGGCGCAUUAGCUAGUUGGUGAGGUAACGGCUCACCAAGGCGACGAUGCGUAGCCGACCUGAGAGGGUGAUCGGCCACACUGGGACUGAGACACGGCCCAGACUCCUACGGGAGGCAGCAGUAGGGAAUCUUCCGCAAUGGACGAAAGUCUGACGGAGCAACGCCGCGUGAGUGAUGAAGGUUUUCGGAUCGUAAAGCUCUGUUGUUAGGGAAGAACAAGUACCGUUCGAAUAGGGCGGUACCUUGACGGUACCUAACCAGAAAGCCACGGCUAACUACGUGCCAGCAGCCGCGGUAAUACGUAGGUGGCAAGCGUUGUCCGGAAUUAUUGGGCGUAAAGCGCGCGCAGGCGGUUUCUUAAGUCUGAUGUGAAAGCCCCCGGCUCAACCGGGGAGGGUCAUUGGAAACUGGGGAACUUGAGUGCAGAAGAGGAGAGUGGAAUUCCACGUGUAGCGGUGAAAUGCGUAGAGAUGU
This 655-nucleotide ribosomal RNA is filed under the name Bacillus sp. CSu__42. RNAcentral's name for it is "bacterial SSU rRNA". It matches the Rfam family "Bacterial small subunit ribosomal RNA", at positions 62 to 699 of the family's 1533-position model. Lineage: Bacteria; Bacillati; Bacillota; Bacilli; Caryophanales; Bacillaceae. The record is from RNAcentral.